GACAGAGGGGGCAAGCGUUGCUCGGAAUCACUGGGCGUAAAGGGCGCGUAGGCGGGAUGGCAAGUCGGUCGUGAAAUCUCUCGGCUCAACCGAGAAACGUCGGCCGAUACUGCCGUUCUUGAGGGAUGCAGAGGAGACUGGAAUUCCCGGUGUAGCGGUGAAAUGUGUAGAGAUCAGGAGGAAGACCAGUGGCGAAGGCGGGUCUCUGGACAGUUCCUGACACUGAGGCACGAAGGCCAGGGGAGCAAACGGG
Molecule: ribosomal RNA, 253 nt
Filed under: uncultured bacterium
Lineage: Bacteria
Description: partial 16S ribosomal RNA
Rfam family: Bacterial small subunit ribosomal RNA
Source: RNAcentral